GAAACGGUCGCUAAAACCCGAUGUGCCGAGAGGUGAAAUAUUUAUAGCCUGAGGAUGAGCUCGCGUCAGAUUAGCUAGUUGGGGAGGUAAUGGCUCACCAAGGCGACGAUCUGUAGCUGGUCUGAGAGGAUGACCAGUCACACUGGAACUGAGACACGGUCCAGACUCCUACGGGAGGCAGCAGUGGGGAAUUUUCCGCAAUGGGCGCAAGCCUGACGGAGCAAGACCGCGUGGGGGAUGAAGGUUUGUGGAUUGUAAACCCCUUUUGUCAGGGAAGAAAAAUGNCGGUACCUGANGAAUAUGCCUCUGCUAACUCCGUGCCAGCAGCCGCGGUAAUACGGAGGAGGCAAGCGUU
Molecule: ribosomal RNA, 355 nt
Filed under: uncultured Phormidium sp.
Lineage: Bacteria; Bacillati; Cyanobacteriota; Cyanophyceae; Oscillatoriales; Oscillatoriaceae
Description: bacterial SSU rRNA
Rfam family: Bacterial small subunit ribosomal RNA
Source: RNAcentral